AGAGAUGAGCAUGCAUCGUGAUUUGCGGGAGGGAUCGGAGCCGGUAAUGCAAUCGCGAGGGUGGGUACGCGGAGCGGGUAAAGGAGAGUGCGGUGACAAAACAAUUUUACUUUUGGCGGAAUCAUUCUCUAGCUCUUCGUUUUUUCGGUCUGCCCCGGCGCUGUCAAACUAAUUGUCUUACAUGUGGGCCUUCAAAAGUUGUUUUGUGAGAGGAAUGGGUAGGAUAAUUUUGGUGAGAAUUGUAUCCAAUUCUUUCAUCCUUUAUAGUAUAGAAUAGUAUAGAUGAAAUGCGUUGCAUCACUUUUCUCUUCCAUAGGUUAAUUAGGAAUCUAGAUCUACUAAUUCCAAUCAGAAAUCUAGAUCAGGUACGCAUCUGUAGCGCGUCAUUUUUCCUCUCCACUUCUAAUUCUGUUUAAUCCUAUCAGAUGUGCUGCAUUAUCUCUUUUCUCUUCCAUGGGUUAAUUAGAAAUCUAGAUCUACUAAUUUCUCUUCGCUAUGAUCAUUCAAAGAGGCGUUUACCUCUAAGAUUAUUGAGCUCUGCACCACACUAAUCUACAAUUGAACAAGUAAUAAUAUAAGUUCGUACAUUAUUUAUUUAUUUAUUUUGCAUAAGUGCACAAGAUAGGAGACGUUCAAAGGGAUACUGAUUGUAUUUUCAUUUUUCAUUAAUUGAACUUUCAGUUCUGUUUAAGGCAUAUGGAUUGAGGGUUACUUUCCAAUUGAAAAUGAAAAGGGUUAGAACAGAGUACAUUGUGUAUUUAAACAACAAUGAUUUUCAAGGACAUUCCUUGCUCUGGGAGGGAAAUUUUUUUGAAGCUGUUGUAUGAAAUACAAAACAAAGUUGACUAAUGCUCCAAACUUAUACUUUUUAAUAUUAAUUAUUUAGUGAUAUGGUGAAAAGGAAAUAUUAUUGUUCAAAUAAGCACCUCGAUAGGUUUUGAUCAAACAGCCAGUGAGCAGGAUAACUAUUGGAACAAUUUCAUCUUUAUCGCAAACAGCAUCGAUGUUGAGUUGUGUUGCUUUCUGACCCAACGGAGAAUCUGGUAAAUUUUAAUAGCUCUCAUUUUGUCCAAUCUAUUUGUUUUUAUCAUAAUACAACAUAGAUGGUUCUAAAAAUACCUCUAAUAUUAUUCUCCUAAUGCCUUUGCAGAAAUCCAAUUAUCACUAUAUCUGAAGCCUACUACUUGAAGUGAACCUGCAUUUCUAAAAAAAAAGCCUGGUCAGAUCAAUAAGCUACCAAGAAAUAUGUUCGUAAUUAGCGCAUCAUUCAUCUCCCGGCUAAAGGCUGCUGCAAUUCGAUGUCAACUACCAGGAUGGAAACACGGAUCCGACAGACUACAUGUACAAGUCCUCCAGGUAAGAUGACAUUGGAAAUUUUCAUAUGCAGAGAAAAGAAACACAAGCAAAGCUGGCGCAUUGUCUGCGCACGCUUUGGUCACUCUGAUGGAGAAAAGGCUUCAACGAUGUGAAGAUCCAUGAACAUCAUUCUGAUAAAAGGAAAGGAAGUAUCAGAUUAAGAGGUGAAAUAAACAUAAGAGAGAAAUGCUACUCCAUAAUAACUCUUGGUGGGUUAUGCUUCUGUC
Molecule: long non-coding RNA, 1583 nt
Organism: Panicum virgatum (switchgrass)
Lineage: Eukaryota; Viridiplantae; Streptophyta; Magnoliopsida; Poales; Poaceae
Exons: 4
Source: RefSeq, a predicted model, not a curated record